Molecule: ribosomal RNA, 468 nt
Filed under: uncultured bacterium
Lineage: Bacteria
Description: partial 16S ribosomal RNA
Rfam family: Bacterial small subunit ribosomal RNA
Source: RNAcentral
GACGAACGCUGGCGGUGUGCUUAACACAUGCAAGUCGAACGGAAAGGCCCUGCUUUUUUGGGGUGCUCGAGUGGCGAUCGGGUGAGUAACACGUGAGUAACCUGCUCUUGACUUUGGUAUAACUUCAGGUAACUGGGGCUAAUACCGGAUAGGAGCCCCUGUUGCAUGGAGGGGGUUGGAAAGUUUCGGCGGUUGGGGAUGGACUGGCGGCUUUACAGUUUGUUGGUGGGGUAGUGGCUUACCAAGGCUUUGGCGGGUAGCCGGCCUGGGAGGGUGACCGGGCACCAUGGGACUAAGGGACGGCCCAGAGUCCUACAGGGGGCAACGGUGGGGAAUAUUGCACAAUGGGCGGGAGCCUGAUGAAGAAACGCCGCGGGUGGAAAGACGGCCUUCGGGUUGUAAACCGCUUUCGCCUGUGACGAAGCGUGAGUGACGGUAAUGGGUAAAGAAGCACCGGCUAACUACGUG